AGUCGUAACAAGGUAUCCGUAGGUGAACCUGCGGAUGGAUCAUUAUAGGGUGUUGGGUAAUUGUGAGUGGUUUUAUUAUUAGUAGUUUGAGCGGUGUUGGUUGGGAUGCGAAGCAGGAUUGCUUGCAGGAUUGCCAAGCAGGAUUGCCAAGCAGGAUUGCGAAGCAGGAUUGCCAAGCAAGACAGCCAACAUUGCCAGCCAACAUUGCCUCACGUUAAACUCUAUAAAUCUAACAAUUACAUACAAAAAAAACAACUUUUAGCAACGGAUCUCUUGGCUCUC
RNAcentral lists this unclassified non-coding RNA (282 nucleotides) under fungal sp. Its description in RNAcentral is "partial internal transcribed spacer region". The stretch from base 1 to 45 matches the Rfam family "Eukaryotic small subunit ribosomal RNA", at positions 1787 to 1831 of the family's 1831-position model. The record is from RNAcentral. Lineage: Eukaryota; Fungi.